Long non-coding RNA from Lacerta agilis (Sand lizard), 682 nucleotides. RefSeq lists it as uncharacterized. The record is from RefSeq and is a predicted model, not a curated record. The transcript has 3 exons. Lineage: Eukaryota; Metazoa; Chordata; Lepidosauria; Squamata; Lacertidae.
CUACGGUGUCCUUCAAGUGGCAUCGCCCAUCGUGGGUCCUCCGCGGGGCGGUGGCAGGACAGACCAAAUGCAGUCUUUCGAGAGGGGUGAGUGUGUUUAAUGGGAAGGUGGGGGGACACACGACUAAAGCAGUUGGUAUGGCGCAGGCUGAAGUUCCACCGGGAGAGUUGCCCCCCCAGCCUUGCAUUCACUACCUAGAGGACACGAAGCGGCACAGAAGCGAAGAUGUAAUCUGCUGUUGGAGGCCCUCUUCUGUCUUAAACAGGGUCUCUGUUGGGGCCUUCUGCGUGCAAAGCAGGUGCACUCCCACUGAGCGGCUGUCCUUUCUGCAUGACGCUUUAAAAAUGCAAUAGGAGAGGCACUUUGAUCACAGCUGCGGUAUCCAUGCUGAAGAGAGAUUGUGGCUCAGCAGCAUGUUCAGCCAUAGCAACCCUAUUUGCAUGAUUGGACUCAUUCUGCAGUUAAGCCAAUUUUUCAACACACUUGCUAGAAAUGGAACCUCCUGGCGGCGUCUAAACUCCGAAGUUUUGAAGUUUGUGAAAGGAACAAAGGUUUUGUUCAAGGAACCAUUAGUGCUGUUCUUGUAAUUAGUGCUGUUCAUGCCAAGCAGCCGUGAAUAUUUUGUAUGUAUCUAAGGCAGGGGUAGGCAACCUAAGGCCCGUGUGCUGGAUGCGGCCCAAUC